RNAcentral lists this ribosomal RNA (497 nucleotides) under uncultured bacterium. RNAcentral describes it as "partial 16S ribosomal RNA". It matches the Rfam family "Bacterial small subunit ribosomal RNA", at positions 28 to 507 of the family's 1533-position model. The record is from RNAcentral.
GACGAACGCUGGCGGCGUGCCUAAUACAUGCCAGUUGAGCGAUGAAGAUUGGUGCUUGCACCAAUUUGAAGAGCAGCGAACGGGUGAGUAACGCGUGGGGAAUCUGCCUUUGAGCGGGGGACAACAUUUGGAAACGAAUGCUAAUACCGCAUAACAACUUUAAACAUAAGUUUUAAGUUUGAAAGAUGCAAUUGCAUCACUCAAAGAUGAUCCCGCGUUGUAUUAGCUAGUUGGUGAGGUAAAGGCUCACCAAGGCGAUGAUACAUAGCCGACCUGGGAGGGUGAUCGGCCACAUUGGGACAGAGACACGGCCCAAACUCCUACGGGAGGCAGCAGUAGGGAAUCUUUGGCAAUGGAGGAAAGGCUGAACGAGCAACGCCGCGUGAGUGAAGAAGGUUGUCGGAUCGUAAAACUCUGUUGGUAGAGAAGAAAGUUGGUGAGAGUGGAAAGCUCAUCAAGUGACGGUAACUACCCAGAAAGGGACGGCUAACUACGUG